ACGUAGGUGGCGAGCGUUAUCCGGAAUGAUUGGGCGUAAAGGGUGCGUAGGUGGCAGAUCAAGUCUGGAGUAAAAGGUAUGGGCUCAACCCGUACUGGCUCUGGAAACUGAUCAGCUAGAGAACAGAAGAGGACGGCGGAACUCCAUGUGUAGCGGUAAAAUGCGUAGAUAUAUGGAAGAACACCGGUGGCGAAGGCGGCCGUCUGGUCUGGAUUCUGACACUGAAGCACGAAAGCGUGGGGAGCAAAUAG
This 251-nucleotide ribosomal RNA is filed under the name uncultured bacterium. RNAcentral's name for it is "partial 16S ribosomal RNA". It matches the Rfam family "Bacterial small subunit ribosomal RNA", at positions 525 to 775 of the family's 1533-position model. RNAcentral also lists the same sequence under 1 other name. The record is from RNAcentral.